UGGGGAAUAUUGGACAAUGGGCGCAAGCCUGAUGCAGCCAUGCCGCGUGUAUGAAGAAGGCCUUCGGGUUGUAAAGUACUUUCAGCGAGGAGGAAGGCGGUAAGGUUAAUAACCUUAUCGAUUGACGUUACUCGCAGAAGAAGCACCGGCUAACUCCGUGCCAGCAGCCGCGGUAAUACGGAGGGUGCAAGCGUUAAUCGGAAUUACUGGGCGUAAAGCGCACGCAGGCGGUCUGUCAAGUCGGAUGUGAAAUCCCCGGGCUCAACCUGGGAACUGCAUUCGAAACUGGCAGGCUAGAGUCUUGUAGAGGGGGGUAGAAUUCCAGGUGUAGCGGUGAAAUGCGUAGAGAUCUGGAGGAAUACCGGUGGCGAAGGCGGCCCCCUGGACAAAGACUGACGCUCAGGUGCGAAAGCGUGGGGAGCAAACA
Molecule: ribosomal RNA, 427 nt
Filed under: uncultured bacterium
Lineage: Bacteria
Description: partial 16S ribosomal RNA
Rfam family: Bacterial small subunit ribosomal RNA
Source: RNAcentral